CCUACGGGUGGCAGCAGUGAGGAAUAUUGGUCAAUGGGCGCAAGCCUGAACCAGCCAAGUAGCGUGAAGGAUGACUGCCCUACGGUUUGUAAACUUCUUUUAUAAAGGAAUAAAGUUAUCCACGUGUGCCUUUUUGUAUGUACUUUAUGAAUAAGCAUCGGCUAACUCCGUGCCAGCAGACGCGGUAAUACGGAGGAUGGGAGCGUUAUCCGGAUUUAUUGGGUUUAAAGGGAGCGUAGAUGGGUCGUUAAGUCAGUUGUGAAAUUUUGCGGCUCAACCGUAAAAUUGCAAUUGAUACUGGUAGCCUUGAGUACGGUUGAGGUAGGCGGAAUUCGUGGUGUAGCGGUGAAAUGCUUAGAUAUCACGAAGAACUCCGAUUGCGAAGGCAGCCUACUAAACUGCCACUGACAUUGAUGCACGAAAGUGUGGGUAUCAAACAGGAUUAGAUACCCUUGUAGUC
Molecule: ribosomal RNA, 460 nt
Filed under: uncultured bacterium
Lineage: Bacteria
Description: partial 16S ribosomal RNA
Rfam family: Bacterial small subunit ribosomal RNA
Source: RNAcentral